AAACUAUAAUUAAACCUAAAUAAAACAAUCUAGAAUUUUCUUAAAGAGAAAGCAGAUUAAUCUCUCUCUAUCAUCUACGUAAAUUCUCUCUAUUUCCGCGUUCUCUCUUUCUCUGCUCUCUACCGUCCCUCUCUCUCUCCCUUCGCCCCUCUCUGCCGGCUCCCUUCUUCCCCAUCUCACCGGGACGUCGCUGGUUCUCGCCGCCUCCGGCGCGGCGAGGCAGGCCCCUGUUCUUCCCCCUUCUUCCUUUCUCUUCUCUUCCCCCAAUUUCCCAGGCUACCACUACCUAGGGUUUUGAAGUUUCCUCUUUUAAAUCUGCUCCUCCGGUGAACUCCACCGCCACCGCCGCCGUUCCCGUCGCGCGGCCGCCCUACAAUCUCAGGAACAAAUUACUCCGGCGUGGAAGCUCGUCUACCGAUACUGCAGCUCAAGUUUCUACCUUUUACUUGUUCUGUAAAUUUAUUCUCUUUUGCUGAUUUACUGAGAAAUUGAUAUUUGAUGGGGAAAAGCAUACUGUUUUGUAGAAGAAAUUAGAGUUAGGGACUGUUGCAACUAUGCUUGUAUCUACUUGGUGUAGCUAUUAUUCAUCUCUAUUGUUCUUAGUUGCUACUGAAUUAGGAAGUGUAAUAAGAGAUACUACCUGUGAAUUGGACCUGCUGUGCUGCCGAAGAUUGUUGUAACAGAUGAUGGCAGAGUUGAGAAAAUUUGGUUGGAUUGGCUCAUGGUAUUAUAUUGAAUUUAUUGGCGGUUUAACACCAGCCGACUAAAAA
Long non-coding RNA from Salvia miltiorrhiza (redroot sage), 770 nucleotides. RefSeq lists it as uncharacterized. The transcript has 2 exons. Lineage: Eukaryota; Viridiplantae; Streptophyta; Magnoliopsida; Lamiales; Lamiaceae. The record is from RefSeq and is a predicted model, not a curated record.